AUUGAACGCUGGCGGCAGGCCUAACACAUGCAAGUCGAGCGGAUGAGGGGAGCUUGCUCCCUGAUUUAGCGGCGGACGGGUGAGUAAUGCCUAGGAAUCUGCCUGGUAGUGGGGGAUAACGUUCCGAAAGGAACGCUAAUACCGCAUACGUCCUACGGGAGAAAGCAGGGGACCUUCGGUCCUUGCGCUAUCAGAUGAGCCUAGGUCGGAUUAGCUAGUUGGUGAGGUAAUGGCUCACCAAGGCGACGAUCCGUAACUGGUCUGAGAGGAUGAUCAGUCACACUGGAACUGAGACACGGUCCAGACUCCUACGGGAGGCAGCAGUGGGGAAUAUUGGACAAUGGGCGAAAGCCUGAUCCAGCCAUGCCGCGUGUGUGAAGAAGGUCUUCGGAUUGUAAAGCACUUUAAGUUGGGAGGAAGGGCUGCUGGUUAAUACCCUGCAGUUUUGACGUUACCAACAGAAUAAGCACCGGCUAACUUCGUG
RNAcentral lists this ribosomal RNA (484 nucleotides) under uncultured bacterium. RNAcentral describes it as "partial 16S ribosomal RNA". It matches the Rfam family "Bacterial small subunit ribosomal RNA", at positions 30 to 507 of the family's 1533-position model. The record is from RNAcentral.